CCUACGGGAGGCAGCAGUGAGGAAUAUUGGUCAAUGGCCGGACGGCUGAACCAGCCAUGCCGCGUGAAGGUCAGUGCCCUAUGGGCGUUAAACUUCUUUUGUGCGGGAGCAAUAAUGGUCACGUGUGGCCAGACGAGAGUACCGUACGAAUAAGCAUCGGCUAACUCCGUGCCAGAAGCCGCGGUAAUACGGGGGAUGCAAGCGUUAUCCGGAUUUUUUGGGUUGAAAGGGUGCGUAGGCUGUGAGGGAAGUCAGCGGUGAAAUUCCCCCGCGCAACGGGGUGAAGUGCCAUUGAUACUGCCUUGCUUGAGUGCGGGUGCCGUGGGAGGAAUGUGUGGUGUAGCGGUGAAAUGCAUAGAUAGCACGCAGAACACCGAUUGCGAAGGCAGCUCACGAGUCCGCGAUUGACGCUGAUGCUCGAAAGUGUGGGUAUCAAACAGGAUUAGAUACCCGAGUAGUC
Molecule: ribosomal RNA, 460 nt
Filed under: uncultured bacterium
Lineage: Bacteria
Description: partial 16S ribosomal RNA
Rfam family: Bacterial small subunit ribosomal RNA
Source: RNAcentral